This is a long non-coding RNA of Heterocephalus glaber (naked mole-rat), 1179 nucleotides long. The record is from Ensembl. NCBI's taxonomy places the organism in Eukaryota, Metazoa, Chordata, Mammalia, Rodentia, Bathyergidae.
CCCACAUUCUGCAGAUGUAGGCUCUAGGUCUUCUCCAUGUAGGUCAGAUACAGUAACCCCAUGCUUCAAACCCAUACCAGGUUUCAGAGCAGCCUAGAUCCAGAUUGGCCCACAAAUUCUCUGGGCUUUAGACCCACCCCAGCAAUACAUCAGUACACAGGGCAUCAGAUAUAGGCAAAAGGCUAUUGUCCACCUACCACUACAACCCUGUGGUCCACUAAGCACAGAAUGCAGGUCAACUCCCAAAGACCCAGGGUCUAGCCCCAUCCCAGCAGACCUCAGGCCUGGGUUGGUCUCCAUGGACCCAGGUUCCAGGAUGAUCUUUGUGAACUCAGUUUUUAGGCUGGGACAGUUUUCAGGUCCUGGGGCUCCCUGGUCCCAGGAUCUUGAUAAGUUUGCUUGUCUAUCAGCACCAGACUAGUACCCAUUAUCCCAGGAUCUAGACUGGCCCCCACUGCUACAUGCUCUAUCCCUACUUCAGAAUUAGUCUACCCCUAGGUUUAGGCUUCACUGGACCUAUGAUUCAGGGCCUUUGCAACAGACUUAGGGUCCAGACCCAUCCAAGUAGACUCUGAUGUUAUGCUCCCUUUCAAACUGAUCUUCUAAGAGCACCCUACAGACCCAGUCUCCCAGCCAAGCCCCUGUGGGCACAGGACUCAAAACUGUCUAUGUGGACUUCAGAACCAGCAUAACACCAGGGGAAGGAACAGAGAUGAACAACACAGAUAACAGGACAAGGAUAUACAGAAGACCCUGCUCGCAUCAGUGCUUUCCACCCCACUGUUCCCUGGACCACCUCUUACCCCUUCAAGAAGCUGUGUGUUCAAUAAAUAGUGGCAAGAUCCAGGACACAGCGUCUUAGCCUGAUAAGAGCUUUGACAGUCUUGAGCCCCCUAUUUAUGCAGUAAAGAUCUUGUCUUUUGUUAUCCUGCUGCCAUACCGAUGUUCAGGUGAUUAGAGGUCUGAUCAGCCUACAAUAAUUCUCCAAGUUGGAAGUGGAGUGCCUGGUGUCUUGGACACACAACUAUUACCGUUUAUUAUAUUCUCCUAAUUAUUGCAUUUUAAAUGAAAUGGGAUGACUUACUUUAAAAAAACAGUUUCAAAGUAAAAUAAAUGUGCUAUCACUGUAAGUGAUACAUGUGUAUGGAGCAUGUUUUUACUUGUAAAGUCUGCCUUAAG